AUUCAGUUGACGAGUCCAAAAUAGGAUGAAACGCGCGUUCUGGAU
Molecule: non-coding RNA, 45 nt
Filed under: Schistosoma mattheei
Lineage: Eukaryota; Metazoa; Platyhelminthes; Trematoda; Strigeidida; Schistosomatidae
Source: RNAcentral